RNAcentral lists this ribosomal RNA (497 nucleotides) under uncultured bacterium. Its description in RNAcentral is "partial 16S ribosomal RNA". It matches the Rfam family "Bacterial small subunit ribosomal RNA", at positions 28 to 507 of the family's 1533-position model. The record is from RNAcentral.
GAUGAACGCUGGCGGCGUGCCUAAUACAUGCAAGUCGAGCGAACAGACGAGGAGCUUGCUCCUCUGACGUUAGCGGCGGACGGGUGAGUAACACGUGGAUAACCUACCUAUAAGACUGGGAUAACUUCGGGAAACCGGAGCUAAUACCGGAUAAUAUAUUGAACCGCAUGGUUCAAUAGUGAAAGACGGUUUUGCUGUCACUUAUAGAUGGAUCCGCGCCGCAUUAGCUAGUUGGUAAGGUAACGGCUUACCAAGGCAACGAUGCGUAGCCGACCUGAGAGGGUGAUUGGCCACACGGGAAGUGAGACACGGUCCAGACUCCUACGGGAGGCAGCAGUAGGGAAUCUUCCGCAAUGGGCGAAAGCCUGACGGAGCAACGCCGCGUGAGUGAUGAAGGUCUUCGGAUCGUAAAACUCUGUUAUUAGGGAAGAACAAAUGUGUAAGUAACUAUGCACGUCUUGACGGUACCUAAUCAGAAAGCCACGGCUAACUACGUG